Molecule: non-coding RNA, 27 nt
Filed under: Homo sapiens (human)
Lineage: Eukaryota; Metazoa; Chordata; Mammalia; Primates; Hominidae
Source: RNAcentral
UGACACCACUCGAGAAAACAUGCUUGC